GCAAGUCGAGCGGUAACAGAAUGAUAGCUUGCUAUCAAUGCUGACGAGCGGCGGACGGGUGAGUAAUGCCUGGGAAUAUGCCCUGAUGUGGGGGAUAACUAUUGGAAACGAUAGCUAAUACCGCAUAAUCUCUUCGGAGCAAAGAGGGGGACCUUCGGGCCUCUCGCGUCAGGAUUAGCCCAGGUGGGAUUAGCUUGUUGGUGGGGUAAUGGCUCACCAAGGCAACGAUCCCUAGCUGGUCUGAGAGGAUGAUCAGCCACACUGGAACUGAGACACGGUCCAGACUCCUACGGGAGGCAGCAGUGGGGAAUAUUGCACAAUGGGGGAAACCCUGAUGCAGCCAUGCCGCGUGUAUGAAGAAGGCCUUCGGGUUGUAAAGUACUUUCAGUUGUGAGGAAGGCGUUGAUGUUAAUAGCUUCAGCGUUUGACGUUAGCAACAGAAGAAGCACCGGCUAACUCCGUGCCAGCAGCCGCGGUAAUACGGAGGGUGCGAGCGUUAAUCGGAAUUACUGGGCGUAAAGCGCAUGCAGGU
This 532-nucleotide ribosomal RNA is filed under the name bacterium 4878K2-B28. RNAcentral's name for it is "bacterial SSU rRNA". It matches the Rfam family "Bacterial small subunit ribosomal RNA", at positions 57 to 576 of the family's 1533-position model. The record is from RNAcentral.